Molecule: long non-coding RNA, 2010 nt
Organism: Rhea pennata
Lineage: Eukaryota; Metazoa; Chordata; Aves; Rheiformes; Rheidae
Exons: 3
Source: RefSeq, a predicted model, not a curated record
GCCCCCUCGGCGCCCGCGGGCGCGAGGCUGGCCGUUAGGGCGGGGUCAACGGCCCGCGCUCGCGCGCGCCCGUUGCGAACCCUAUCAGAGCCCCCCAGAGCGAGGGGAGCCGUGGCAAGAUCAUCAAGAUGGCACUAACAUUUCAUUCUAGAAAGUACUGCUUGGAAAACAAGGUACUACAGCAAUAUUUAGCCUCUGGGUAAAAGGAAGAAGCCAGUACUACAUGACUGUCAGUCCUCUGGGGAUCUUCUGAUAUUUCUGUCUAGACUGCUAAUAAUUUAUUGACUACACAUUGAACAAUUGUAAUCUAACAAGUAGGAUUUUAUGCUCCACAUUCUUACUGUAUUUGAUGUGUAUUGUAUCCUGUUGUCUUAGAUAUGGCCUAGAGUAUUUUAUUCUAGUUACUAAGGCAAUCGAAGAACUGAAGCAGAGGAUUGUCAAGGUUGCAGGUUAUUCAUGGUUGAUCUGAAAGUAAAAUUUAAAAAACAUAGCAGAAAUGUGCCCCUUUUUCCCCUACUGUUUCAUGGAGUUUCCCAGAGUAUUUCUGAGGCAAUAUUAGGGUGAUUUCAUAAUGUGUACUAUGCAAAACCAACUGCAUAUGUGCAUAUUAGCCCCAGGUAAUACCCCUUCCAUAGAAGUCAGUGACAGAACUCCAAUUUCACUGGGGCCAGAAUUCUGUCUCUGAUGUCUUUUUCCUGCUUCUGCUCCAAGUAAAGCCUAUUAAAUGAAUUAAAGCAGAGAGAUACUUUGAGUCCAAUGGAAUAUUUAUUUCCACAAUUAUCAGUUAUGGGGAUUAUGGAAAAAAGCAGCCAAGAUGUGCUGACAUAUUUAAGUCAUCUAAGAAAUGUAUAUGCAAGUAGGAGAAUUUACAUCAAAAGUACAAGAUUGUUUCUAGAGUCAGACAGUAAUAAAGAAAUUUAACCUAAAUUGUUCUGUUUCCUGAUACUAAUUGUUGUAACCUCUAUUAAACAAAAUAAUACAAUUUUUCAGGUGAUCUUUCUUUGUUAAAUUGGAAGAUGGGCCUUUUUUGGUUUUAUUACCCCAGCCACAUCAGAUAUCUUACACCAGUCAUAAACAAAAUAGCACAUCAGCAGAGAUCAAUGCUAAGGAAACAAUGCCCUGCUGUAUGCAAGAAGGAAUCUCAGAUCGCUACUCUGUGUAGUACUUAUGAAAUGAUUUCAGUGCUGACAACAAAGGACUUAACACAUUAGGAUGAUUUGGCCUGUUAAUCUCAGCUAAAUAAAAUACGAAUAUAUGAUUUUUAUUAGUCUAAUCAAAAUAUGUUGAAUAGUAGUAUCUUAAAUGAUACUAGUAAGCAUAGAAUGAGGCCAUAACUGUAUAGGAUUAAAUUACGAACUACUCCUGGUGACUGUUAUAACUGGUACCUGUUUAUCGUCAAUACUGCAGACAAUACAGGCCCUGAACCCUGGCUUUUCAUAUCAUAAAUGAAUUUAAGGUGCUUACAUUUUAAGGUGCUCCAUUCAUGGAGCUACUUGUAAGUACACAUUUUUAACUUCAUUUUUACAUACUGUAGUCCAGAGAAAUUUGUUUAGAUUGAGAGAGAGCAGAUCUGUUUCCUCAGCUUACCACACUGUCAAUGAAAACAUUUAAAUGGAUGUUUCUGUGCCCUUUAUGUUACACAUGGAGGCCUUAAUGUAAAUAAGAAUGAGCAGAAAAAAUCUUUGGGAACAAAGCCUUCUUGACCUUUUAAGCUAUAUAUUCCCACCGCAUUCCUGCCUUUUCAUCAUACAUUCAGUCCACUUCUCUUUUGGAAGCAAAUAUGAGUGUCUUGUGAUGAAGUGUGUGUGUUGUUUUAAUUAUGUUUGCUAAAAUAUUUAUGUACCUGUGAUUAUUUACCUUUGUGUAAAAGUGUUCUUCAUAUGUUUUACCAUUACAUUCAACAUGUACACUGUUGAAAAUUUAAAAGUAUGUAUUUGUUGAUCUUUCCAGUCCUAUAAUGAUAGAAACAUGUAUUCUCUCACUUCAGUGCCAUCUCUUUGUCUACAAAAA